RNAcentral lists this ribosomal RNA (717 nucleotides) under Bacillus sp. FJAT-4564. Its description in RNAcentral is "bacterial SSU rRNA". It matches the Rfam family "Bacterial small subunit ribosomal RNA", at positions 57 to 755 of the family's 1533-position model. Lineage: Bacteria; Bacillati; Bacillota; Bacilli; Caryophanales; Bacillaceae. The record is from RNAcentral.
GCAAGUCGAGCGAACUGAUUAGAAGCUUGCUUCUAUGACGUUAGCGGCGGACGGGUGAGUAACACGUGGGCAACCUGCCUGUAAGACUGGGAUAACUUCGGGAAACCGAAGCUAAUACCGGAUAGGAUCUUCUCCUUCAUGGGAGAUGAUUGAAAGAUGGUUUCGGCUAUCACUUACAGAUGGGCCCGCGGUGCAUUAGCUAGUUGGUGAGGUAACGGCUCACCAAGGCAACGAUGCAUAGCCGACCUGAGAGGGUGAUCGGCCACACUGGGACUGAGACACGGCCCAGACUCCUACGGGAGGCAGCAGUAGGGAAUCUUCCGCAAUGGACGAAAGUCUGACGGAGCAACGCCGCGUGAGUGAUGAAGGCUUUCGGGUCGUAAAACUCUGUUGUUAGGGAAGAACAAGUACGAGAGUAACUGCUCGUACCUUGACGGUACCUAACCAGAAAGCCACGGCUAACUACGUGCCAGCAGCCGCGGUAAUACGUAGGUGGCAAGCGUUAUCCGGAAUUAUUGGGCGUAAAGCGCGCGCAGGCGGUUUCUUAAGUCUGAUGUGAAAGCCCACGGCUCAACCGUGGAGGGUCAUUGGAAACUGGGGAACUUGAGUGCAGAAGAGAAAAGCGGAAUUCCACGUGUAGCGGUGAAAUGCGUAGAGAUGUGGAGGAACACCAGUGGCGAAGGCGGCUUUUUGGUCUGUAACUGACGCUGAGGCGCG